RNAcentral lists this small nuclear RNA (102 nucleotides) under Plasmopara halstedii. The record is from RNAcentral. Lineage: Eukaryota; Oomycota; Peronosporomycetes; Peronosporales; Peronosporaceae.
GCCACUUCGGUGGUCAAUUGAAGAACUAGAACGAUGCAGAGAACACUAGCAUGACGCCAACGCAAGGAUGAGACGCAUCAAUUGAGAAGUCGCAAUAUCCUU